CUGUUUCAACUUGUUGUGGACAAAUCCAGUGAAUAUGGCUAUCAAUUCCACCUGCAGUGAGAAUCUGCCCUUCGCCAGCAAUGACUUCAGUCGCGGCACCUAAAGGAAUAGUGAUAUUGGGCUGAAUAUCUGGAUUUCCUGCUUUACCAAUUUUCCAUAUUCGGCCAUUUUUCAAGCCGACAUCGGCUUUAACAAUGCCCCACCAAUCGAUAAUUAAGGCAUUGGUAAUAACGGUAUCAGCAACAUCUUGCGCCAAGAGCUGGGACUGCCCCAUCCCAUCCCG
This 283-nucleotide small RNA is filed under the name Acinetobacter pragensis. Its description in RNAcentral is "5' ureB small RNA". It matches the Rfam family "5' ureB small RNA". The record is from RNAcentral. Lineage: Bacteria; Pseudomonadati; Pseudomonadota; Gammaproteobacteria; Moraxellales; Moraxellaceae.